AUUGAUGUUUUCGCCGCGACGAUUCGAAAUGAAACGAAGAAAUUAGCAGAAGUGAAGGUCACCGGAGAGGUGAAUGAGGAUUUUACCACUGGAACUAGAGAGCUUGGCUCUGACUGGUCUACUACAGCAAGGAAUGUGCCAGGGGCCAAUCUGAUGAACAUGUGGCAGAAGAUUUGGCAAUGGGUGAAGAAACACUGAGAUUGAAAUGCAACCACAGGUGGAGGCUUCACCCAAACUUUUCAGACGGAUGCGAGAUACAAAGUUACCCAAGUAUAAAUGGUUGAAGGUUUUGGAGAGCCAGACAAGAAGGCAGGAAAUGUGAUGUCACUUUUACUUCAAUAAACAUGAACAGCAGCAGGAGCAACAACAGCAUCAGCAGCCGAAACCUCAACUGCAAUAAGAGAUGCAGCAACCGCACCGACAACAUCAAGAGCAACAGCAAAAAUACCUACAUGUAUUACAGCAGAAAUGCAACAAUCACAUUGGCAACAUCAACAGCAGCAGGAGCUCCAACAACCAUGCAGGGAACAUCGCGCGCAACAUAAAUAACUUCAUCAAGAGAUGCAACAACCACAGUGGUAAACAUCAACAGCAGUAGCGACAACGACAGUAGAAACAAAGCCAAUGUCAAGGAUUAAGCAAUCAUACAGGAAACAACACAAGCGGCAACAUCAAUAAAUGCAUCAGGGGAUGCAACAGCCAUACUUGUAAACAGCAGCAGUAGCAGCGAUGACAAGAGCAACCACACAGGCAACACCUUGAGCAACAUCAGUAGCAAUGCACCAGCAAUGAAACAAUCACACCAACAACACCAA
This 815-nucleotide long non-coding RNA is filed under the name Lytechinus variegatus (green sea urchin). Its description in RNAcentral is "uncharacterized LOC121416958". The record is from RNAcentral. Lineage: Eukaryota; Metazoa; Echinodermata; Echinoidea; Temnopleuroida; Toxopneustidae.